Molecule: ribosomal RNA, 467 nt
Filed under: uncultured bacterium
Lineage: Bacteria
Description: partial 16S ribosomal RNA
Rfam family: Bacterial small subunit ribosomal RNA
Source: RNAcentral
GACGAACGCUGGCGGCGUGCUUAACACAUGCAAGUCGAGCGGAAAGGCCCUGCUUUUGUGGGGUGCUCGAGUGGCGAACGGGUGAGUAACACGUGAGUAACCUGCCCUUGACUUUGGGAUAACUUCAGGAAACUGGGGCUAAUACCGGAUAGGAGCUCCUGCUGCAUGGUGGGGGUUGGAAAGUUUCGGCGGUUAGGGAUGGACUCGCGGCUUAUCAGCUUGUUGGUGGGGUAGUGGCUUACCAAGGCUUUGACGGGUAGCCGGCCUGAGAGGGUGACCGGCCACAUUGGGACUGAGAUACGGCCCAGACUCCUACGGGAGGCAGCAGUGGGGAAUAUUGCACAAUGGGCGGAAGCCUGAUGCAGCAACGCCGCGUGCGGGAUGACGGCCUUCGGGUUGUAAACCGCUUUCGCCUGUGACGAAGCGUGAGUGACGGUAAUGGGUAAAGAAGCACCGGCUAACUACGU